CACAGAGUGUUUGUUGUGGGGGAGGAAGGGAAAGGAGAAUGUUGGCUGCUUUGAGACUCCUUAGGGUAGUGAUAAAGCAGGAUAUCAAAUCCAUUCUCCUUUCCCUUCCCUUCCUCCCCCACAACAAACACUCUGUGA
Molecule: non-coding RNA, 138 nt
Organism: Podarcis lilfordi (Lilford's wall lizard)
Lineage: Eukaryota; Metazoa; Chordata; Lepidosauria; Squamata; Lacertidae
Source: the annotation of a GenBank genome assembly